Molecule: microRNA precursor, 122 nt
Organism: Brassica oleracea var. oleracea
Lineage: Eukaryota; Viridiplantae; Streptophyta; Magnoliopsida; Brassicales; Brassicaceae
Rfam family: MIR9563 microRNA precursor family
Source: Rfam
GGAAUAUAAUAACCCGUCUCUUAACUUUUAACUAAAAAAACUAAGAACCGGUUUUUAAAUUAUUUAAAAACCGUUUCUUAGUUUUUUUUAGUUAAAAGUUAAGAGACGGGUUCUUAUAUUCU